AAAGCGUGCGCAGGCGGUUAUGUAAGACAGAUGUGAAAUCCCCGGGCUCAACCUGGGAACUGCAUUAGUGACUGCAUAGCUGGAGUACGGCAGAGGGGGAUGGAAUUCCGCGUGUAGCAGUGAAAUGCGUAGAUAUGUGGAGGAACACCGAUGGCGAAGGCAGCCCCCUGGGUCAAAACUGACGCUCAUGCACGAAAGCGUGGGGAGCAAACAGGAUUAGAUACCCUAGU
RNAcentral lists this ribosomal RNA (230 nucleotides) under uncultured bacterium. RNAcentral describes it as "partial 16S ribosomal RNA". It matches the Rfam family "Bacterial small subunit ribosomal RNA", at positions 562 to 791 of the family's 1533-position model. The record is from RNAcentral.